Molecule: non-coding RNA, 572 nt
Organism: Odocoileus virginianus texanus
Lineage: Eukaryota; Metazoa; Chordata; Mammalia; Artiodactyla; Cervidae
Source: RefSeq, a predicted model, not a curated record
CUCAGAACCCUUAGAAGGAGUAACCUUGUCAAUAAUUUGAUCUUGGAAGUCUAAUUUCCGGCACUGAGGAGACUGUGGUGCCCUCCAGCUGCAGCAGGAUCUUGCUAAAGUAAGUGCCUCUGGGACCAAAUUUCAGCUCAUGGGACUGGAACGAUGGAUAAACCGCUCUGCCAUCUUCCAGGAGAAGAGCAGCAGUUUCCACCAUGCUGAAAACAUGCUGAACUCCUUUCUGGGCUGAUUGCAACUGGAUCGGAAUGGUCCAGCUUCUUGUAAAUUCUCACCAGCAGUAUUACAAUGAGGGAUUACGGGUCUGCUUUCAAGUCUGCCUUAAAUGCCUGAUUUGCACUAAAGGAAAAGAAAAUCCCCUGACCUAACUAGUACAUCAGAAAGAAGAAUGAAGUAGAAAUUUUGGCUGUAGGGCCAUUCUAGUUUGUCAUUUUGUGAAAUUAGAGACAGAUGGGUGCUUUCUGUGUUGUGGGAAAUUCUGUCCUACAUUCCAGCCAAUGCUGGGAGUUCUGGAAGAGGACAGAGAGGGGAAGGAGAAAGCUAUUUGGACAAGGAAGAAUAUAUGC